This 220-nucleotide long non-coding RNA is filed under the name Oryza brachyantha (malo sina). Its description in RNAcentral is "long non-coding RNA (OBRA_LNC003659)". The record is from RNAcentral. Lineage: Eukaryota; Viridiplantae; Streptophyta; Magnoliopsida; Poales; Poaceae.
UAGAUUAGGUCAAGCUUGUGAAGGGAGGGCUAAGAGGAGGAUCUUUGCCAUUGGUAAUUCGACAGGUCUUUCUUUCCCUACUUGCUAGCCAACCAGGGGUUGUUACGUAACAUGUGGUAAGCACUAUACUCCAUUACUUUCUCAAACGCUCCACUCAGCACUACCUCCUUCCGUGCUGCUCGCUCUUGCACACGAACAGCAGCUUCUCCGAGACCUCGCC